GACGAACGCUGGCGGCGUGCUUAACACAUGCAAGUCGAACGAAGAGCGAUGGAAGCUUGCUUCUAUCAAUCUUAGUGGCGAACGGGUGAGUAACGCGUAAUCAACCUGCCCUUCAGAGGGGGACAACAGUUGGAAACGACUGCUAAUACCGCAUACGAUCUAAUCUCGGCAUCGAGGAUAGAUGAAAGGUGGCCUCUACAUGUAAGCUAUCACUGCAGGAGGGGAUUGCGUCUGAUUAGCUAGUUGGAGGGGUAACGGCCCACCAAGGCGAUGAUCAGUAGCAGGUCUGAGAGGAGGAACGGCCACAUUGGGACGGAGACACGGCCCAGACUCCUACGGGAGGCAGCAGUGGGGAAUCUUUCGCAAUGGACGAAAGUCUGACGGAGCAACGCCGCGUGAGUGAUGACGGCCUUCGGGUUGUAAAGCUCUGUUAAUCGGGACGAAAGGCCUUCUUGCGAAUAGUGAGAAGGAUUGACGGUACCGGAAUAGAAAGCCACGGCUAACUACGUG
This 510-nucleotide ribosomal RNA is filed under the name uncultured bacterium. Its description in RNAcentral is "partial 16S ribosomal RNA". It matches the Rfam family "Bacterial small subunit ribosomal RNA", at positions 28 to 507 of the family's 1533-position model. The record is from RNAcentral.